RNAcentral lists this transfer RNA (74 nucleotides) under Prevotellaceae bacterium. RNAcentral describes it as "tRNA-Gln". It matches the Rfam family "tRNA". From Rfam's summary of the family: Transfer RNA (tRNA) molecules are approximately 80 nucleotides in length. The record is from RNAcentral. Lineage: Bacteria; Pseudomonadati; Bacteroidota; Bacteroidia; Bacteroidales; Prevotellaceae.
UGACCUAUGGUGUAAUGGCAGCACAACAGAUUUUGGUUCUGUUUGUAUAGGUUCGAAUCCUGUUAGGUCAACCA